This 85-nucleotide transfer RNA is filed under the name Dentipellis sp. KUC8613. It matches the Rfam family "tRNA". Rfam says of the family: Transfer RNA (tRNA) molecules are approximately 80 nucleotides in length. Their secondary structure includes four short double-helical elements and three loops (D, anti-codon, and T loops). Lineage: Eukaryota; Fungi; Basidiomycota; Agaricomycetes; Russulales; Hericiaceae. The record is from Rfam by way of RNAcentral.
GGUUCAAUGGUCUAAUGGUUAUGAUUUCUGUCUCACAUUGAGAUUCGCUCACAGAAGGUUCCCGGUUCGAUCCCGGGUUGAACCA